Molecule: transfer RNA, 66 nt
Filed under: Diaphanosoma excisum
Lineage: Eukaryota; Metazoa; Arthropoda; Branchiopoda; Diplostraca; Sididae
Description: tRNA-Tyr
Rfam family: tRNA
About the family: Transfer RNA (tRNA) molecules are approximately 80 nucleotides in length. Their secondary structure includes four short double-helical elements and three loops (D, anti-codon, and T loops).
Source: RNAcentral
AAUACAAUGGCCGAAGUUAAAAGCGUUAGAUUGUAAAUCUAAAAAUGAGGGAGUCCUCUUGUAUUA